RNAcentral lists this ribosomal RNA (441 nucleotides) under uncultured bacterium. RNAcentral describes it as "partial 16S ribosomal RNA". It matches the Rfam family "Bacterial small subunit ribosomal RNA", at positions 338 to 795 of the family's 1533-position model. The record is from RNAcentral.
CCUACGGGAGGCAGCAGUGGGGAAUAUUGCACAAUGGGGGAAACCCUGAUGCAGCGACGCCGCGUGGGUGAAGAAGCAUUUCGGCAUGUAAAGCUCUAUCAGCAGGGAAGAAGAUAGCCGUUACCUGACUAGGAAGCCCCGGCUAACUACGUGCCAGCAGCCGCGGUAAUACGUAGGGGGCAAGCGUUAUCCGGAUUUACUGGGUGUAAGGGGAGCGUAGACGGCGGUGCAAGUCUGAAGUGAAAGCCCGUGGCUCAACCGCGGAACUGCUUUGGAAACUGUAUAGCUGGAGUACUGGAGGGGCAGGCGGAAUUCCUAGUGUAGCGGUGAAAUGCGUAGAUAUUAGGAGGAACACCAGUGGCGAAGGCGGCCUGCUGGACAGAAACUGACGUUGAGGCUCGAAAGCGUGGGGAGCAAACAGGAUUAGAUACCCUGGUAGUC